GGCAGCAGUGGGGAAUUUUGGACAAUGGGGGCAACCCUGAUCCAGCCAUGCCGCGUGAGUGAAGAAGGCCUUCGGGUUGUAAAGCUCUUUCGGCGGGGAAGAAAUGGCAACGGCUAAUAUCCGUUGUUGAUGACGGUACCCGCAUAAGAAGCACCGGCUAACUACGUGCCAGCAGCCGCGGUAAUACGUAGGGUGCGAGCGUUAAUCGGAAUUACUGGGCGUAAAGCGUGCGCAGGCGGUUUUGUAAGACAGACGUGAAAUCCCCGGGCUCAACCUGGGAACUGCGUUUGUGACUGCGAGGCUAGAGUACGGCAGAGGGGGGUAGAAUUCCACGUGUAGCAGUGAAAUGCGUAGAGAUGUGGAGGAAUACCGAUGGCGAAGGCAGCCCCCUGGGUUAGUACUGACGCUCAUGCACGAAAGCGUGGGGAGCAAACAGGAUUAGAUACCCUGGUAGUCCACGCCCUAAACGAUGUCAACUAGGUGUUGGAAGGGUUAAACCUUUUAGUACCGCAGCUAACGC
This 520-nucleotide ribosomal RNA is filed under the name uncultured bacterium. Its description in RNAcentral is "bacterial SSU rRNA". It matches the Rfam family "Bacterial small subunit ribosomal RNA", at positions 347 to 858 of the family's 1533-position model. The record is from RNAcentral.